CGCCAGACUCCUACGGGAGGCAGCAGUGGGGAAUAUUGCACAAUGGGGGAAACCCUGAUGCAGCGACGCCGCGUGAAGGAUGAAGUAUUUCGGUAUGUAAACUUCUAUCAGCAGGGAAGAAAAUGACGGUACCUGACUAAGAAGCCCCAGCUAACUACGUGCCAGCAGCCGCGGUAAUACGUAGGGGGCAAGCGUUAUCCGGAUUUACUGGGUGUAAAGGGAGCGUAGACGGCAUGGCAAGUCUGGAGUGAAAGGCGGGGGCUCAACCCCCGGACUGCUCUGGAAACUGUACGGCUGGAGUGCAGGAGAGGUAAGUGGAAUUCCUAGUGUAGCGGUGAAAUGCGUAGAUAUUAGGAGGAACACCAGUGGCGAAGGCGGCUUACUGGACCGAAACUGACGUUGAGGCUCGAAAGCGUGGGGAGCAAACAGGAUUAGAUACCCCGGUAC
Molecule: ribosomal RNA, 447 nt
Filed under: uncultured bacterium
Lineage: Bacteria
Description: bacterial SSU rRNA
Rfam family: Bacterial small subunit ribosomal RNA
Source: RNAcentral